Molecule: ribosomal RNA, 464 nt
Filed under: Vreelandella stevensii
Lineage: Bacteria; Pseudomonadati; Pseudomonadota; Gammaproteobacteria; Oceanospirillales; Halomonadaceae
Description: partial 16S ribosomal RNA
Rfam family: Bacterial small subunit ribosomal RNA
Source: RNAcentral
CCUACGGGGGGCAGCAGUGGGGAAUAUUGGACAAUGGGCGAAAGCCUGAUCCAGCCAUGCCGCGUGUGUGAAGAAGGCCUUCGGGUUGUAAAGCACUUUCAGUGGGGAAGAAAGCCUUGGGGCUAAUACCCUCGAGGAAGGACAUCACCCACAGAAGAAGCACCGGCUAACUCCGUGCCAGCAGCCGCGGUAAUACGGAGGGUGCGAGCGUUAAUCGGAAUUACUGGGCGUAAAGCGCGCGUAGGCGGUCUGAUAAGCCGGUUGUGAAAGCCCCGGGCUCAACCUGGGAACGGCAUCCGGAACUGUCAGGCUAGAGUGCAGGAGAGGAAGGUAGAAUUCCCGGUGUAGCGGUGAAAUGCGUAGAGAUCGGGAGGAAUACCAGUGGCGAAGGCGGCCUUCUGGACUGACACUGACGCUGAGGUGCGAAAGCGUGGGUAGCAAACAGGAUUAGAUACCCGUGUAUC